GGGAACUGCGUUCUGAACUGGGUGACUAGAGUGUGUCAGAGGGAGGUAGAAUNCCACGUGUAGCAGUGAAAUGCGUAGAGAUGUGGAGGAAUACCGAUGGCGAAGGCAGCNUCCUGGGAUAACACUGACGUUCAUGCCCGAAAGCGUGGGUAGCAAACAGGAUUAGAUACCCUGGUAGUCCACGCCCUAAACGAUGUCGAUUAGCUGUUGGGCAGCAUGACUGCUUAGUUGCGAAGCUAACGCGUGAAAUCGACCGCCUGGGGAGUACGGUCGCAAGAUUAAAACUCAAAGGAAUUGACGGGGACCCGCACAAGCGGUGGAUGAUGUGGAUUAAUUCGAUGCAACGCGAAGAACCUUACCUGGUCUUGACAUGUACGGAACCCUCCAGAGACGGAGGGGUGCCUUCGGGAGCCGUAACACAGGUGCUGCAUGGCUGUCGUCAGCUCGUGUCGUGAGAUGUUGGGUUAANNNNNNNNACGAGCGCAACCCUUGUCAUUAGUUGCCAUCAUUAAGUUGGGCACUCUAAUGAGACUGCCGGUGACAAGCCGGAGGAAGGUGGGGAUGACGUCAAGUCCUCAUGGCCCUUAUGACCAGGGCUUCACACGUCAUACAAUGGUCGGUACAGAGGGUAGCCAAGCCGCGAGGUGGAGCCAAUCUCACAAAACCGAUCGUAGUCCGGAUUGCACUCUGCAACUCGAGUGCAUGAAGUCGGAAUCGCUAGUAAUCGCAGGUCAGCAUACUGCGGUGAAUACGUUCCCGGGUCU
Molecule: ribosomal RNA, 764 nt
Filed under: uncultured bacterium
Lineage: Bacteria
Description: bacterial SSU rRNA
Rfam family: Bacterial small subunit ribosomal RNA
Source: RNAcentral